This is a long non-coding RNA of Zalophus californianus (California sea lion), 1155 nucleotides long. RefSeq lists it as uncharacterized. The record is from RefSeq and is a predicted model, not a curated record. The transcript is spliced from 3 exons. NCBI's taxonomy places the organism in Eukaryota, Metazoa, Chordata, Mammalia, Carnivora, Otariidae.
UGACACUGCCUCUGAGCUCUGGCAAUCUUGUCAAACCCACUUCACUCUACCGUCAAGCACUUUCUCCCACCUUUUCUUCCAGCUCACAGCCUCCUGCCCCAAGCCUGAAGGAAGUUUAUGGAAUAUGCUUCCAGGCGAUUCCACUACUACACGAAGUAGAUAAGCUAGCAACUCUAAGUGGGCAGGAAAUACGCCAGAUGCCUUCUCUUUUUCUUCUCAGCCCUUUCUUGGGAAGGGGGAUCUAUGUAGUCAGGGCCAAACCCUUACCCUGCCUCUCCGUAACCCCUACCCCUUGGCUUCCACUUCGGUCUUAACCAGCCUUAAAACACGCUGGGCCUCUUCGAAACUCCCGACGGAGGUGUGGGAAAACAGGAAGCACCUUUACAUCAUUACACUGAGCGGGGUCACCCACCCCAGCAUCAACCGAGCGGGCCACUGGGCAGAGGACGGCUCGGCCAGCGGGAGGGGCGGGGGGGACAAGGAGGCCGCGCGGGGCGUCGGGGCCGGUGCGUUCGCUCCUCCCUGCGACACCCGCGGGGAGAAGGCCGCCCGAGUGGAGGAAAGAGGUGGCGGGCGAGCGGGCGAGUCCUUCCCUGCAAGGCUGGCUCAUCAGUGGGGACUCCGCCCGUACCGCCCGCCUCGCCGGAGCCCAGGGCCAGCGUCAGCCUUGAAGGUUUCAGAUUUUAUUUAAUCUAGAAGGGAUUUUUUUUUUUUUUUUUAACAUUCAUUCAAAAAGCGUCGUUGGUUGCCUGCCCCGUGCCAGGCACUGUGCAAGGUUUGGGAAUGCACAGCUGAAUGAAACAAAUCUUUGCCUUCGAGGAGCUUAUAGUCUAUUGGGGAAACUGACCAGAAACAGAUAACUAUAAAAUAAAGACACAAGUGCAAGGAAAGAGCUCACGUCUUAACUCAGGCAAAGCAUUCUGUGAUGGGAACAAAGACUGUCCCCUCGAGCAGUAACCGCUGCCCUGAGCCAGCAAGACCCCACGUGACCGACCUCAAGACACUGAUCAACCUGACCUUUCCUGCCCACCUGCAUGUGCCCAUCAACUUUUGUCCCACAUUUGCCUUCUAUAAACUUAGAAGUAUUUUCAGCACUUUGGAGAUAGUCUUUGAGACAUUAGUCUGCUGUCUUCCUGGUGCUGGCCUCACUGAAAU